GAUGAACGCUGGCGGCGUGCCUAAUACAUGCAAGUCGAGCGAACGGACGAGAAGCUUGCUUCUCUGAUGUUAGCGGCGGACGGGUGAGUAACACGUGGAUAACCUACCUAUAAGACUGGGAUAACUUCGGGAAACCGGAGCUAAUACCGGAUAAUAUUUUGAACCGCAUGGUUCAAAAGUGAAAGACGGUCUUGCUGUCACUUAUAGAUGGAUCCGCGCUGCAUUAGCUAGUUGGUAGGGUAACGGCUUACCAAGGCAACGAUGCAUAGCCGACCGGAGAGGGUGAUCGGCCACACUGGAACUGAGCAACGGUCCAGACUCCUAGGGGAGGCAGCGGUAGGGAAUCUUCCGCAAUGGGCGAAAGCCUGACGGAGCAACGCCGCGUGGGUGAUGAAGGUCUUCGGAUCGUAAACUCUGUUAUUAGGGAAGAACAUAUGUGUAAGUAACUGUGCACAUCUUGACGGUACCUAAUCAGAAAGCCACGGCUAACUACGUG
RNAcentral lists this ribosomal RNA (496 nucleotides) under uncultured bacterium. Its description in RNAcentral is "partial 16S ribosomal RNA". It matches the Rfam family "Bacterial small subunit ribosomal RNA", at positions 28 to 507 of the family's 1533-position model. The record is from RNAcentral.